This 2809-nucleotide ribosomal RNA is filed under the name Escherichia coli. RNAcentral's name for it is "bacterial LSU rRNA". It matches the Rfam family "Bacterial large subunit ribosomal RNA". Lineage: Bacteria; Pseudomonadati; Pseudomonadota; Gammaproteobacteria; Enterobacterales; Enterobacteriaceae. The record is from RNAcentral.
AGCGUACACGGUGGAUGCCCUGGCAGUCAGAGGCGAUGAAGGACGUGCUAAUCUGCGAUAAGCGUCGGUAAGGUGAUAUGAACCGUUAUAACCGGCGAUUUCCGAAUGGGGAAACCCAGUGUGUUUCGACACACUAUCAUUAACUGAAUCCAUAGGUUAAUGAGGCGAACCGGGGGAACUGAAACAUCUAAGUACCCCGAGGAAAAGAAAUCAACCGAGAUUCCCCCAGUAGCGGCGAGCGAACGGGGAGCAGCCCAGAGCCUGAAUCAGUGUGUGUGUUAGUGGAAGCGUCUGGAAAGGCGCGCGAUACAGGGUGACAGCCCCGUACACAAAAAUGCACAUGCUGUGAGCUCGAUGAGUAGGGCGGGACACGUGGUAUCCUGUCUGAAUAUGGGGGGACCAUCCUCCAAGGCUAAAUACUCCUGACUGACCGAUAGUGAACCAGUACCGUGAGGGAAAGGCGAAAAGAACCCCGGCGAGGGGAGUGAAAAAGAACCUGAAACCGUGUACGUACAAGCAGUGGGAGCACGCUUAGGCGUGUGACUGCGUACCUUUUGUAUAAUGGGUCAGCGACUUAUAUUCUGUAGCAAGGUUAACCGAAUAGGGGAGCCGAAGGGAAACCGAGUCUUAACUGGGCGUUAAGUUGCAGGGUAUAGACCCGAAACCCGGUGAUCUAGCCAUGGGCAGGUUGAAGGUUGGGUAACACUAACUGGAGGACCGAACCGACUAAUGUUGAAAAAUUAGCGGAUGACUUGUGGCUGGGGGUGAAAGGCCAAUCAAACCGGGAGAUAGCUGGUUCUCCCCGAAAGCUAUUUAGGUAGCGCCUCGUGAAUUCAUCUCCGGGGGUAGAGCACUGUUUCGGCAAGGGGGUCAUCCCGACUUACCAACCCGAUGCAAACUGCGAAUACCGGAGAAUGUUAUCACGGGAGACACACGGCGGGUGCUAACGUCCGUCGUGAAGAGGGAAACAACCCAGACCGCCAGCUAAGGUCCCAAAGUCAUGGUUAAGUGGGAAACGAUGUGGGAAGGCCCAGACAGCCAGGAUGUUGGCUUAGAAGCAGCCAUCAUUUAAAGAAAGCGUAAUAGCUCACUGGUCGAGUCGGCCUGCGCGGAAGAUGUAACGGGGCUAAACCAUGCACCGAAGCUGCGGCAGCGACGCUUAUGCGUUGUUGGGUAGGGGAGCGUUCUGUAAGCCUGCGAAGGUGUGCUGUGAGGCAUGCUGGAGGUANCUGUGAGGUAUGCUGGAGGUAUCAGAAGUGCGAAUGCUGACAUAAGUAACGAUAAAGCGGGUGAAAAGCCCGCUCGCCGGAAGACCAAGGGUUCCUGUCCAACGUUAAUCGGGGCAGGGUGAGUCGACCCCUAAGGCGAGGCCGAAAGGCGUAGUCGAUGGGAAACAGGUUAAUAUUCCUGUACUUGGUGUUACUGCGAAGGGGGGACGGAGAAGGCUAUGUUGGCCGGGCGACGGUUGUCCCGGUUUAAGCGUGUAGGCUGGUUUUCCAGGCAAAUCCGGAAAAUCAAGGCUGAGGCGUGAUGACGAGGCACUACGGUGCUGAAGCAACAAAUGCCCUGCUUCCAGGAAAAGCCUCUAAGCAUCAGGUAACAUCAAAUCGUACCCCAAACCGACACAGGUGGUCAGGUAGAGAAUACCAAGGCGCUUGAGAGAACUCGGGUGAAGGAACUAGGCAAAAUGGUGCCGUAACUUCGGGAGAAGGCACGCUGAUAUGUAGGUGAAGCGACUUGCUCGUGGAGCUGAAAUCAGUCGAAGAUACCAGCUGGCUGCAACUGUUUAUUAAAAACACAGCACUGUGCAAACACGAAAGUGGACGUAUACGGUGUGACGCCUGCCCGGUGCCGGAAGGUUAAUUGAUGGGGUCAGCGCAAGCGAAGCUCUUGAUCGAAGCCCCGGUAAACGGCGGCCGUAACUAUAACGGUCCUAAGGUAGCGAAAUUCCUUGUCGGGUAAGUUCCGACCUGCACGAAUGGCGUAAUGAUGGCCAGGCUGUCUCCACCCGAGACUCAGUGAAAUUGAACUCGCUGUGAAGAUGCAGUGUACCCGCGGCAAGACGGAAAGACCCCGUGAACCUUUACUAUAGCUUGACACUGAACAUUGAGCCUUGAUGUGUAGGAUAGGUGGGAGGCUUUGAAGUGUGGACGCCAGUCUGCAUGGAGCCGACCUUGAAAUACCACCCUUUAAUGUUUGAUGUUCUAACGUUGACCCGUGAUCCGGGUUGCGGACAGUGUCUGGUGGGUAGUUUGACUGGGGCGGUCUCCUCCUAAAGAGUAACGGAGGAGCACGAAGGUUGGCUAAUCCUGGUCGGACAUCAGGAGGUUAGUGCAAUGGCAUAAGCCAGCUUGACUGCGAGCGUGACGGCGCGAGCAGGUGCGAAAGCAGGUCAUAGUGAUCCGGUGGUUCUGAAUGGAAGGGCCAUCGCUCAACGGAUAAAAGGUACUCCGGGGAUAACAGGCUGAUACCGCCCAAGAGUUCAUAUCGACGGCGGUGUUUGGCACCUCGAUGUCGGCUCAUCACAUCCUGGGGCUGAAGUAGGUCCCAAGGGUAUGGCUGUUCGCCAUUUAAAGUGGUACGCGAGCUGGGUUUAGAACGUCGUGAGACAGUUCGGUCCCUAUCUGCCGUGGGCGCUGGAGAACUGAGGGGGGCUGCUCCUAGUACGAGAGGACCGGAGUGGACGCAUCACUGGUGUUCGGGUUGUCAUGCCAAUGGCACUGCCCGGUAGCUAAAUGCGGAAGAGAUAAGUGCUGAAAGCAUCUAAGCACGAAACUUGCCCCGAGAUGAGUUCUCCCUGACUCCUUGA